This 7381-nucleotide long non-coding RNA is filed under the name Olea europaea (common olive). Its description in RNAcentral is "long non-coding RNA (OEUR_LNC010418)". Lineage: Eukaryota; Viridiplantae; Streptophyta; Magnoliopsida; Lamiales; Oleaceae. The record is from RNAcentral.
UUGUUAUUUCUUUGUUUUUAUGUUGUUUCAGUGACUGUGGUUGCUUCUAUAAAUGUGAAUGAUGAAAAAUGGUUCUGGUUUAAGCACGGCCCUGGUGGUUUGUUACCCCCCGGUGGAUUUGGUCCUGGCAGUGGUUUGCUCCCUCCUGGUGGUGGUUUGUUCCCUCCUGGGGGAUUUGGCCCUGGCAGCGGUUUGCUCCCUCCUGGUGGUGGUUUGUUCCCUCCUGGUGGAUUUGGCCCUGGCAGUGGUCUGCUCCCUCCUGGUGGUGGUUUGUUCCCUCCUGGUGGAUUCGGUCCAGGUGGUGGUUUUGGCCCGGGUGGUAGAUUUGGCCCAGGUGGCGGAUUUGGUCCUGGUGGUGGAUUUGGUCCAGGUGGUGGAUACCGCCCGGGCCCUGGAUUUGGCCCUCGUACUGGUUUUGAAGUUGGUGUUGGAUUUGGUGGCGGCCUUAAAACAGAUGGUGGUUCUGGUAGCAGAAUUGGAAAAGGCAGUGGAGUUGGGAAAACUGAACGCCACUGAUUCUUCUUUUGUUGCAUGCACUCAAGACACUAUGUACCUGUCUGUGUGAUUCUUGCUUGCUAAAUAAUUUCUUGAUCAGUGUAUUACAAAUUCCGAUUAGACAUUCUGUCGACUUGAUCAUUAUAAUCCACUUGUCAAAUUGAUAUCAUACCGUCCAUUCUACUUUAUUACUCAAUUUCUUCUGAUAAAUAUCUUAAAAUAAAAAUAAAAAUAAAAAUAAAUAGAAGAAGAAGGACAAACAUUUUUUCACACUCACAAGUCGAAUCGAUAUCAUAUGGUCGAUUUUUUCAUAAUUAAGACUAACUCUAAGAGACAGGGAAUACACUUUUAAGAGUUAUAAACUAGUAGAAAAUUAUUUCUGGUGAUAUAAAUAUUAUUAUUAUUGUAAGGGUGGUUCUUUUUGGGGGAAAAAAAUCAGGAGUUACAAAGUCUACAACUACUACUCCUAAUUAUUAUUAUUAUUAUUUAUUUUUUUUGGAAAGCUACUAAUUAAUUUAAGAACAACGGGGUUACAUAAUCUACUACUAAUUAAUUUCUGUCACCGAAUUACGUAAAGAAUUCAAGUUAAAUAAGCAUUAAUUCAAUAUUUCCAAAUUAACUGAAAAAUAAAAAUUACCUUCUCUGCAGAUUUUAAGUUUCUUUCUCGAAAAAUGUUUUUGGGUUCUCAGUUUUAUUUUUUCUAAUUGCGUUGUAGAUUUUCUUGUUUCUGAAUAUGAGUCAUCCCAUUUUAUAUCAAUAAAAAUAUUUUAUUUUUCACUUUUGAAACGUCCUCGUCGUAACCACUCGGGUGUUACCUGAAAAAAUUAAGCAAAACACCAAGGCUUGAGUCAAUAAAAGAUACAAAAUAAUGUUAACAAAUUUGUACGUAUAGCAUGUGUAUUAAAAGUUAAUUCAAACCUAGAAACCUGCCAACAACUAUCUCAGUUUCUUGAACAGUUGGAUAUAUUAUAUUGGCGCAGAACUAAUUAACACUAGUCUAUAAAAGGGUUGGUAUCAAUUUACUUUUUCUAGUUAACUGGCUUCUUCAACUAAGAACAUUGCACUUAUUUUCUUGAUUGUGUAAUGGCUGGGGAAGAAAAUGGGGAAGAUGGGACUAUGGAUGUCAAAGGGAACCCUAUUCUUAGAUCCGAGAAUGGAGGAUGGACUGCUUGUUCUUUUAUUCUCUCUCUCUCUCUCUCCACUACUCAGUGCACUCUUAUCUUUUCCUACUUUUAACUGUUGGGAAUUGGGAAGGGCAAUAUAUAUUCUCUUUGUUUUCCCAUGUUGGUUUUAUCAAUACCUAUCUUGUACACAACUUGUUUCCUUUGUAUCUUCUCUCAAAUCUGGUGAUUUGAGGAUUAUAGUUAAUCGAUCCCAUGGUUUUCCAGUCUACGAAAUGCACUUCUCCAAUUAACGUCACCCGUCUCCACUAUCAAACAAUAUCGCAAGAGUAAUGUUAUUCAUCAGUAGCGAUGAUCAUAACUACUUUAAAUGAUAGUGGCCUAUGGUUUAUUGUCCAACAUAAAAGUUGAUGUUUAGAACCAACUUUUAUCAAAAAGAUAUUUUGAGCUAUCAAAUUAAUUGGUUGGUUGUCUCAUCAGCUGUAAAUCUUAUAUAUGGCCUACUCCAAAACCUAAAUUUCUUAGCUACCUCUUCCAAUCAAAGAUUCAGGAAAAAUUGUCAUGGCCCAUUUUGUCCAUAACGAAGUUCGAAGAAGCCUAAUGACACAAAGAAAGAACCACAUCUUAGUUUGGACAAUUUAGUCCAUAUUGAAUACUUCUCAAAAUAACUUUUUUAGCAUCAAACGUCGCACCAUAAACUUUUUAAGAUACAAAGACCGUUAGUGAAAUGAGUCUCUAUGAGGCAAUUUUUUCUACUUGCAGAACGUAAAUGAUGUACAGGUGGCGACCCACCCAAAGUUAGGUUCGAAAUAUAAAUUCACACCUUUAUGUAAUGGCAGAUAUUUUACCACCUUGCACUUAGUUGAACAGCUCAUAUAACAAUCAUAUAUCAUAAAAAUUCGCAUCACAUUUUGACUUGUAUAAAUGACCUUUGUCUUGUGCAGUUUAUGAAGUUUUUGAACGUAUGGCCUAUCAUGGGAUUUUAUCGAAUCUCAUCAUUUACUUGACCAGAAAAUGCAUCAAGGCACAUUUAAAUCAAUCAAUAAUGUCACCAAUUGGCAGAGGCAGAUCUAGAAAAUCAUGCUGGGAAGCUAAAAUUUAAAAUAUAUAUGCACAAAUUUUUAUAAAGUAUACGAUAUAAAGUUUCAUCAAGACAUGACUGACUGAAAUUAUCUCCGUUGAGCUCAAGAAUCAGAGUCAGAGAUGAAACAUGAACUAAAGAACACGUUGCCACCAGUAUCAUUUUCUUUGUGACUUGUGGAAGCUUGGGCCUUUGGGCAUUUCCAGAAUUAACGGGAAGAAUUUGAGAUUUGAGAAUUUGAGGAGUAUGAAUGCAUGAUUUAAUGAUUAGGUGGGUUACUAGGUUUGGACUUUGGAAUGGAUUCAAUGGGGGUUACUAGGUUUGGACUUUGGUAUGGAUUCAAUGGAAAUCAUGGAAUGGACUUAAUCUCUGGGCUAAUUUUUUAUUUUUUGGACUGGGAUUGGAUUUAACGAUUUAAUGGAGUCAAACAGUGGGCUAAUGUAUUAGGUGGGUUAGUGGGUUGGACUUUGGAAUUGGAACAAUUAGCUAAUUAUAAUUUUGGGCCGAGCUAUAAAAGAGGAAAUUACACCGAAGCACUUUUUUGAAUUUUCCAAUUCAAAAAUCAAGUUUAAAAAUUGUUUAUUCAAAAUUCAGGUGAAAAUUUAUUUUUUAAUAUUAAUAAUAAUAUUAAAAAACUAAAUUAAUCCAUCUUAUCAAAUUUAACUUCCAAACCCUAAUCAUUUCCAUCUCUUCUCUUUCUCUCACUUCUCGCCUCUCUCUCUCUCUCUCUCAAACGGCCUUCUUCUCCAUCUCUCUUCUAUCCUUGUUCUCUUUCUUGUGCUGGUCAAUACCCCCGUUGUUGUGAGCGCAAGUGCAGCAUCUGACACAAAUGGCAAGUUCGUAUCUCUUGGUCUUGCAAAAAAGUCCCUCAAAGAAGCCAAUGAGGGUUGAUGGAUCUCAUCCAUAGAGAAAUGGACUUUAUCAACUAUUGUCUCUAAAGCAAGCGCUAAAAGGGCUUUGCAUUUCUCAGGCUGUCGAGAGUUGGAUAGGGACAUAUCUGUUUCAAUUAAAGUUGGGGAAUCUGACUUUUCUCUAGCUAAAGGUGGAUUAGACUUUGAUCGAUUCUGUUAGGUGACUAGACAGUGGUAUGGUGAUUUUGAGAAUGUGAUUUUUAAGAUAGUGUGAUUGAUGGGUGCCGUCAUAGUGUUAUUGAUGGGUGUCGUCGUGGUGGGUGCUAUGUCGAGUGGUAAUUUUGAGAAUGUUAGUGUAGCCGGCGGUGUCACGGUGACUCGAUCUAGUUGGCGGAAGACAACAAGCGGUAACUUUGGGACGAUUUUUUUGGUGUUUUGGAAAUGAUGGUGGUGGUGCGUGCUGUGGAUUUCGGCUGCCAUGGUGAAUUUGUUUGGAAAUGGUACUGUUGUGGUAGUAACGAUGAUAAUGAGGUGAGAGUGGCUGUGAUGGUAGUAGUGGUGUGAUAGUGUUGGUGACGGUGGUAUGUGACCACUAUUUGGUAUAUAUGACCACCCAUUUAGUUAUCUAUGACAAAUUGGUUAAUUGUAACUUAAAAUUUUGAUAAUAUGUGACCUGUAAUUUUUUGAUUUGUGACUUCGAAAUAAAAUGUGACCUAUAAAAUUUAUGAUUUGUAACUUUGAAAUAAUAUGCGACUUAUAAAAUUUCUGAUUUGUGAUCUCGAAAUAAUUUGUGACUAAUUAAUUUAAUGAUAUGUGACUUAUAAUUAUUUACCUAUGACCAUUAAUUUUAUAUUUAUGAUUUUAUUAUAUUUGAUUAAUAAAUAUUUCUAAUUAAUUAAAUAUAUAUCUGAAUUUUGAAUUUUCAAACUAUUUACCUUAUUUCUGAAUUGGUGUAAAUAAUAUAUCUGAUAUAUGAAUUUUCCCUAACUUUUUUCAGAAAUUUUACACACACAAAUGGUAUCUAGCCGAAGACUGCACUAGGCUACAGCUCAAUCUAGCUAGGUCCUAAAUCUGCUCCUGUCAAUUGGGUAGGCACCGUUUGGAUGACUCCUAUCUUGGGUGCAUAUCCCGCAGAUGCUCUUUAUAAUAUCCCGAAAUUUUUUAGAAUAUAAUUUAAUUUUAUUUAUGCUAUAUUUUUAAUGUUUUGAAAGUUUAGGGACUAAAGUGUAUAUAAAGUAAACUUAAAUAAUAUUUAGAUUAAAAUAUAAAUAUUGACGGGACGAUGAUAAGUAUACGGAUAUUGGGCUCGUUGGAUAGAUAAUAAUUAAAGACGCAUUUUAGACUCGAGAAAAAAUUUAUUUGGGUUAGUCGAGCCCAAGUUAUCGAAGCCGGAAGAUAUAACAUUAAAAUAUUAAUUUAUUACUUUUGUUUGGAAGAAUUUACGUGGAGAGAGAGAUGAAAGUUGUUGAGAUAUUUUAUUAUUUUAUUAUUAAUAAUAAUAUUUUAUUAAGUGUGUUUUGCAUUGAGAGGUCUUACGUGAAGUACUAGGAUUCUAAGUAGGUGGUUGGUAUGUGAUAAUUGAUUUGUUUAUUAAAUGAAAUAAAGUGUAGAGAGAGAGAGAGAGAAUUAUGGGAAGCCACGUUCCUAAUGGUUAAAACAAAUUCCCUUGUAUAUAUAUGGUGCAUUGCCAUGUGUAAGAUAUAAAUUAUUUUUUUUCAAAUUGUGGGUAGUUAGCAAGAUUUGGGUCAAGAUUCUGUUUCAACUAUUUUGAUCCAUAUCUCCUUCCCCACUCCCACACGUUUCAUCAUUUUUUUUUUUAUAUAGAUAUUUUUAUUAUAUCAUAUGAAAACAAUAGUUUUCAUUCACUUCACUGUAAUAUUAUUGCACGAUAAGGCAGAAAGAAAAGAAAAGAUAGUUGCAACGUGAUUUUGGGUUUUCUUAUUCCAAGAAAUUGUUGGAGCGUGAACNNNNNNNNNNNNNNNNNNNNNNNNNNNNNNNNNNNNNNNNNNNNNNNNNNNNNNNNNNNNNNNNNNNNNNNNNNNNNNNNNNNNNNNNNNNNNNNNNNNNNNNNNNNNNNNNNNNNNNNNNNNNNNNNNNNNNNNNNNNNNNNNNNNNNNNNNNNNNNGAAAGUUAUGAUAUUAAUGAUAUGAUAUGAAUGAUAUGGCCAUUCCGGUACAAUGAAAUGAAAUGAUAUGAUAUGAUGUGAGCUCUUAUCGGAUUUAGAGUUAUGCGACGGUAUGGUAUUCUGACACUUGUGUUAAAAUUAUUUUUCGGGAUCGCACCAUUAAUGUAAUAUCCUACUGAGUAAAGCAGGUCAGAUCCACUGUCUUCUAAUGUUGUUGUGUCUAAAGAUUCUUUAUGUGCUCCGUCAUUGCAUGCCCUUCUAGAUACAACUUGUGCCAAAGUACCUUAUCUUAUCUAUGCAUCUUGGUGCAAUUUUAAGGAGAAAUGUAUAUGUAUACUUAAUUUCUAAUAUAGCAAUAGGUUUAAAUGUCAUUGUCCAAGAGAAUUGUAAGUGUAAGUUAGCAAUAAGUAUUCUAAACAUUAAUUGCAUUAUUUAAUUUUUUUUUUCUUUAAAUGUAUAUUCAGUAUUAUAAAAAUUCUAAUUGGAGAUAUUGAAGGUUGUCAUGAACAAAUUGCUUAACAGCUGUAUAGCAUAUAUGUCAAGGGUCUGUUAUCUCUUUAUAAGUUAAACAACUCUUGUUAACACAUUUUUUUUUAGUGAAAUCGCUACAAAGGUGUAGUAUUUAUUCAUAACUCUUUUACAAAUCAGACCGUCAAACACGACUCCCAUCUAACAUUCCAAAUUAUUACUCUCGAACAAAUAUGAAUUCCCUCUUAAUGUCAUGCGUUCAGUUGAUGUAUGUAGUUGGGUCUAAUGAUCCGAUAUUAACUUGCACGAUACAAUUUGAUUUUUAGGUCACUAUUAAAGGUCGAAUGGCAAAAUCUGUUUGGAUCCCCACGGAGUAUCCCUCAUUAACCAGUAGCACUUCAUUUCAAACUUAUUGGUUAUACAUUUUAGACAUGAGUAUCGAAGAGAAAGAGCUUUCACGCACGUGAAAUUUAAAUAUUUUAAAGAAAGAUAUGCCUUCUUGAACUGAAAAUCUGAGAUAAUAAGUCUAAUAAAACUUAAAUCAAAUUCUAGUUGAGCUUCCUUGCAUACAAGAAAAUUAUGAAAUGGCCCUUCACUGCACAAAGUAUCUUUGCUACAGCAUGAAACUUGCCAUUUCCCAUAUUAACAAGAAAAUAUCUCUAUGGAUCAUCAAAUUUUAUUGGUAGGCACGUGAAAGCAUUUCUGUCUGAUGCAUCUUACCAAACACUUGUUGAUGGAGUUUUGUACAGCAUUAGUAAACUGGUAGUUGUUAGGUGCCAUUAAAUGCAUUAUCUGAAUGAUGGGGACAAUAGAAUUAUAAGUAUAUAAUCCCUCUUGUAUGAUGUUGUUAAUGCAAUUCUGAAACAUAUAUUCCGCGGAAAGUUGUAAUGACAUUAUGGUUGCAAUGAAAGUUGGGGAGUUGUUAUUUCUUUGUUUUUAUGUUGUUUCAGUGACUGUGGUUGCUUCUAUAAAUGUGAAUGAUGAAAAAUGGUUCUGGUUUAAGCACGGCCCUGGUGGUUUGUUCCCUCCUGGUGGAUUUGGCCCUGGCAGUGGUUUGCUCCCUCCCGGUGGUGGUUUGUUCCCUCCUGGUGGAUUUGGCCCUGGCAGUGGUUUGCUCCCACCUGGUGGUGGGUUUUUCCCUCCUGGUGGAUUUGGCCCUGGCAAUGGUUUGCUCCCUCCAGGUGGUGGUUUGUUCCGUCCUGGUGGAUUCGGUCCAGGUGGUGGUUUUGGCCCGGGUGGC